AUUUGCUCUUAAUGCAACAAGUUGGAAGUUUCAAUAUUAUUCAGAAAAAAAACAUAUUGAAUGCAUUUUCCUCUUGCAGGCAUCUUCAAUUCAAUGUGGAUGGUUCCAUUGGAAGGGAGAAGUGAGCAUUGAUGAUGAAGAAUUCACAGUAAAUUAGAGUGGUGCCAAAUGGAGUAUGGUGUGCUGUUGCGAAUUUACCAAUAUAACAUGGUUUUGUGGACGAGGCAACCCUCGUAUAGACUCAGUGCAUAAUGAGAGAUGGUGAUGCCAGGAUCGUGGGACUAGAGAUAUCAUAUGAGGCAAUGAAAUCAUUGAUCAUAUACCAAAUUAGCACAAUUUUGACAAUAUGCACUAUUUGGAUCUCCUGGGAUCGUCAUAGCUGCCAGAAACUAUCACAUGUAUUUGCUUCUAGUUUCUUGAAAGUCCAAUAUUUUACGAUCUCGAGGUUUCCUGAAGAGUUCCAAUUUGUAAUUUGAUUUCAUAAAUAUAUCGUUG
This 495-nucleotide unclassified non-coding RNA is filed under the name Hevea brasiliensis (rubber tree). The record is from RNAcentral. Lineage: Eukaryota; Viridiplantae; Streptophyta; Magnoliopsida; Malpighiales; Euphorbiaceae.